RNAcentral lists this long non-coding RNA (1322 nucleotides) under Homo sapiens (human). Its description in RNAcentral is "HSALNT0050929". Lineage: Eukaryota; Metazoa; Chordata; Mammalia; Primates; Hominidae. The record is from RNAcentral.
GCUCGGGUCCCCUUCCAGUCUGUGGGGUAUUUCCUCUUUUGCUGUUUGCAGUAAAUCUUGCUGCUGUUCAUUGUUUGGGUCCACACUGCCUUUAUGAGCUGUAACAUUCACUGUGAAGGUCUGCAGCUUAGCUCCUGAAGCCACUGAGACCACGAACCCACCAGAAGGAAGAAACUCUGAACACAUCCGAACAUCAGAAAGAACAAACUCUGGACACACCGCCUUUAGGAACUGUAACACUGACUGAGAGAGUCCCAGACUUCAUUCUUGAAUUACAGGGCUUUGACUCUUGGGUCUGAAGAAGGCACCAGCCCCUGCUAAAUUCUGAGCAUUGACACCAGUGGAAGCCUCAUCCUCAGACUUGGAAGAAGGUAACAAUACAAAUGAACUGUUUUUGUGAGACACAGGCCAGAAAUUAAAACUAUUCAAUCCCUCUAGGCCCAGAGACUAUUGCAGGCUGAAGUGCAGUGGCGCCAUCUCAGCUCACUGCAAGCUCCACCUCCCGGGUUCACACCAUUCUUCUGGAUAUUCGGCAGACUUCUAAGAGCAAACUUUCAAGUUCUAAAUUCAGUCUCUUGACCUUAAACUAACUUUCUUGGAUAUUAGGUUCCCUGAAGUCUGAGAGAGACAUAUUAGGCUGAUUUGUUACGUUAGGAUUAUGCAAGAAGCAUUGCCAAAUCUGAGAUGAUGUUUAACUUCCCUUGGGUUAUAUUUAUAUAGAUGUAUUGUUAGUAUGUGUUCCAGGAUUGUAUGAGAGUCCUAAAAUUCUGAUACGUCUUAAUAUAUGUUGUCAGUAGUAAUUAUUAUUAUAUUAAGUUGUUUUAUGCCACAGAAAUGAUUAAGUUUCCUUGUCAACUGUGUCUUUAACUAUGGCUGUCUGAAGACUUUUGUCAUCCACAAUUGAUGUUUUGCUGUGAUCCUUCUCAAAAGAAAAAAAGUGACUUACAAUCAGCUAUAGUCCAAAGCUUCCUUCUUUGGAGGAGUUCAUGAAAAAGACUCUUGAAUGCAGGUUUCUGAUAACUUUGGAGAUUGUGCCACUAGAUUAGAGAGAAAAUUUCCAGGGCACUAAUUGAAAGGCUGAUGUGCUCAUAAAGAUUCCCAACCCAAUACGAAGCAGAGCAGGAGGUGAUUGCAUGGACUGAACUAAUGCAGGACAGAAAGAACUUUUUAUGGCUUUUGUUGUUUGAAAUAUUGCUGAUUCUUUUGGUUUUGUUUUUCAGAGUCUGGAGAAUCUUUUUCUUUUGAGCUAUUUAUUUAUAGCCUUUAAGUGUAUUUAUAGUCUUAAAGUAUAUAUACUUCAAGGGUAUUGAAUGGAGUAUGCU